Molecule: ribosomal RNA, 267 nt
Filed under: uncultured bacterium
Lineage: Bacteria
Description: partial 16S ribosomal RNA
Rfam family: Bacterial small subunit ribosomal RNA
Source: RNAcentral
CGGACCGGCGCACGGGUGAGUAACGCGUAUGCAACUUGCCUAUCAGGAGGGGGAGUAACCCGGCGAAAGUCGGACUAAUACCGCAUGAAGCAGGGAUCCCGCAUGGGGAUAUUUGCUAAAGAUUCAUCGCUGAUAGAUAGGCAUGCGUUCCAUUAGGCAGUUGGCGGGGUAACGGCCCACCAAACCGACGAUGGAUAGGGGUUCUGAGAGGAAGGUCCCCCACAUUGGAACUGAGACACGGUCCAAACUCCUACGGGAGGCAGCAUG